CCUACGGGAGGCAGCAGUGAGGAAUAUUGGUCAAUGGCCGGAAGGCUGAACCAGCCAAGUCGCGUGAGGGACGACUGCCCUAUGGGUUGUACACCUCUUUUAUAAGGGAAGAAUAAAUGCUACGUGUAGCCUGAUGCCUGUACCUUAUGAAUAAGCAUCGGCUAACUCCGUGCCAGCAGCCGCGGUAAUACGGAGGAUGCGGGCGUUAUCCGGAUUUAUUGGGUUUAAAGGGUGUGUAGGCGGUUUUUUAAGUUAGUGGUUAAACGUCGGGGCUUCACCUUGAUUUGCCAUUAAUACUGUAAGACUCGAGUUCAGACGAGGUAGGCGGAAUAAGUUAAGUAGCGGUGAAAUGCUUAGAUAUAACUUAGAACUCCGAUAGCGAAGGCAGCUUACCAGACUGCGACUGACGCUGAAGCACGAGAGCGUGGGUAGCGAACAGGAUUAGAUACCCUUGUAGUC
RNAcentral lists this ribosomal RNA (459 nucleotides) under uncultured bacterium. RNAcentral's name for it is "partial 16S ribosomal RNA". It matches the Rfam family "Bacterial small subunit ribosomal RNA", at positions 338 to 795 of the family's 1533-position model. The record is from RNAcentral.